Molecule: non-coding RNA, 130 nt
Organism: Triticum aestivum (bread wheat)
Lineage: Eukaryota; Viridiplantae; Streptophyta; Magnoliopsida; Poales; Poaceae
Source: Rfam
UAAGUAUUACCUCUUUCCCAAAUUACUUGUCUUAGAUUUCUAUAGAUAUGGAUGUAUCUAACACUAAAUGUGUCUAGAUACAUCCGUAUCUAGACAAAUCUAAGACAAGUAAUUCGGGACGGAGUACAUC